This 401-nucleotide ribosomal RNA is filed under the name uncultured bacterium. RNAcentral's name for it is "bacterial SSU rRNA". It matches the Rfam family "Bacterial small subunit ribosomal RNA", at positions 355 to 773 of the family's 1533-position model. The record is from RNAcentral.
UCGGGAAUUUUGGGCAAUGGGCGAAAGCCUGACCCAGCAACGCCGCGUGAAGGAUGAAGUCCUUCGGGAUGUAAACUUCGUAAGAAUGGGAAGAAUCAAUGACGGUACCAUUUGUAAGGUCCGGCUAACUACGUGCCAGCAGCCGCGGUAAUACGUAGGGACCAAGCGUUGUUCGGAUUUACUGGGCGUAAAGGGAGCGUAGGCGGCGCAUCAAGUCAGCUGUGAAAUCUUAAGGCUUAACCUUAAGCGGUCAGCUGAUACUGUUGUGCUAGAGUGCAGAAGGGGCAAUCGGAAUUCUUGGUGUAGCGGUGAAAUGCGUAGAUAUCAAGAGGAACACCUGAGGCGAAGGCGGGUUGCUGGGCUGACACUGACGCUGAGGCUCGAAAGCCAGGGGAGCAAAC